This 409-nucleotide ribosomal RNA is filed under the name uncultured bacterium. RNAcentral's name for it is "bacterial SSU rRNA". It matches the Rfam family "Bacterial small subunit ribosomal RNA", at positions 56 to 496 of the family's 1533-position model. The record is from RNAcentral.
UGCAAGUCGAACGGAGGCCCGAAGCUUGCUUCGGAUACCUUAGUGGCGAACGGGUGAGUAACACGUGGGAAUCUACCUAAAAAUGGGGAAUAACUGUUGGAAACGACAGCUAAUACCGCAUAAUCCCUUCGGGGCAAAGGCUUCGGCCGUUUUUAGAUGAGCCCGCGCUAGAUUAGGUUGUUGGUGGAGUAAUAGCCCACCAAGCCUGCAAUCUAUAGCUGGUCUGAGAGGAUGAUCAGCCACACUGGGACUGAGACACGGCCCAGACUCCUACGGGAGGCAGCAGUGGGGAAUAUUGGACAAUGGGGGAAACCCUGAUCCAGCAAUGCCGCGUGAGUGAAGAAGGCCCUAGGGUUGUAAAGCUCUUUCAGAAGUGAAGAUGAUGACUGUACUUCAGAAGAAGAUCCGG